RNAcentral lists this ribosomal RNA (253 nucleotides) under uncultured bacterium. RNAcentral's name for it is "partial 16S ribosomal RNA". It matches the Rfam family "Bacterial small subunit ribosomal RNA", at positions 524 to 776 of the family's 1533-position model. The record is from RNAcentral.
UACGUAGGCAGCAAGCGUUGUUCGGAAUUACUGGGCGUAAAGAGUGUGUAGGCGGUGCUCUAAGUCUGUUGUGAAAUCUCCCGGCUUAACUGGGAGGGUGCGGCGGAGACUGGAGUGCUAGAGUGCGGGAUAGGUAAGCGGAAUUCCUGGUGUAGCGGUGAAAUGCGUAGAUAUCAGGAGGAACACCUGUGGUGUAGACAGCUUACUGGACCACGACUGACGCUGAGACACGAAAGCGUGGGUAGCAAACAGG